GCGGCGGCCUAUACUGGCAGUCGAGCGGAUCUGAUGGAGCUUGGUCCCCAAGAUUAUCGGCGGACGGGUGAGUAACACGUGGGCGACCUGCCUGUGAGACAGGGAUAUCUUCUGGAAACCGGAGCUCAUACCGGAUAAUCCUUUUCUUUACAUGAGGAAAAGCUGAGAGAUGGGUUCGGCUAUCACUUACAGAUGGGCCCCCGGCGCAGUAUCUAGUUGGUGAGGUAACGGCUCACCAAGGCGACGAUGCGUAGCCGACCUGAGAGGGUGAUCGGCCACACUGGGACUGAGACACGGCCCACACUCCUACGGGAGGCGGCAGUAGGGAAUCUUCCGCAAUGGAGGAAAGUCUGACGGAGCAACGCCGCGUGAGUGAUGAAGGUUUUCGGAUCGUAAAACUCUGUUGUUAGGGAAGAACAAGUACCGGAGUAACUGCCGGUACCUUGACGGUGCCUAACCACAAAGCCACCGCUAACUACGUGCCGCCAGCCGCGGUAAUACGUAGGUGGCGAGCGUUGUCCGGAAUUAUUGGGGGUAAAGCGCGCGCAGGUGGUUUCUUAAGUCUGAUGUGAAAACCCCCGGCUCCACCGGGGAGGGGCAUUGGAAACUGGGGGACUUGAGUGCAGAAGAAGAAAGUGGAAUUCCUCGUGUAGCGGUGAAAUGCGUAGAGAUUUGGAGGAACACCAGUGGCGAAGGCGACUUUCUGGUGUGUAACUGACACUGAGCGCGAAGCGUGG
Molecule: ribosomal RNA, 737 nt
Filed under: Bacillus sp. HM-1-41
Lineage: Bacteria; Bacillati; Bacillota; Bacilli; Caryophanales; Bacillaceae
Description: bacterial SSU rRNA
Rfam family: Bacterial small subunit ribosomal RNA
Source: RNAcentral